AGCUAAUACCGGAUAAUAUUUUGAACCGCAUGGUUCAAAAGUGAAAGACGGUCUUGCUGUCACUUAUAGAUGGAUCCGCGCUGCAUUAGCUAGUUGGUAAGGUAACGGCUUACCAAGGCAACGAUGCAUAGCCGACCUGAGAGGGUGAUCGGCCACACUGGAACUGAGACACGGUCCAGACUCCUACGGGAGGCAGCAGUAGGGAAUCUUCCGCAAUGGGCGAAAGCCUGACGGAGCAACGCCGCGUGAGUGAUGAAGGUCUUCGGAUCGUAAAACUCUGUUAUUAGGGAAGAACAUAUGUGUAAGUAACUGUGCACAUCUUGACGGUACCUAAUCAGAAAGCCACGGCUAACUACGUGCCAGCAGCCGCGGUAAUACGUAGGUGGCAAGCGUUAUCCGGAAUUAUUGGGCGUAAAGCGCGCGUAGGCGGUUUUUUAAGUCUGAUGUGAAAGCCCACGGCUCAACCGUGGAGGGUCAUUGGAAACUGGAAAACUUGAGUGCAGAAGAGGAAAGUGGAAUUCCAUGUGUAGCGGUGAAAUGCGCAGAGAUAUGGAGGAACACCAGUGGCGAAGGCGACUUUCUGGUCUGUAACUGACGCUGAUGUGCGAAAGCGUGGGGAUCAAACAGGAUUAGAUACCCUGGUAGUCCACGCCGUAAACGAUGAGUGCUAAGUGUUAGGGGGUUUCCGCCCCUUAGUGCUGCAGCUAACGCAUUAAGCACUCCGCCUGGGGAGUACGACCGCAAGGUUGAAACUCAAAGGAAUUGACGGGGACCCGCACAAGCGGUGGAGCAUGUGGUUUAAUUCGAAGCAACGCGAAGAACCUUACCAAAUCUUGACAUCCUUUGACAACUCUAGAGAUAGAGCCUUCCCCUUCGGGGGACAAAGUGACAGGUGGUGCAUGGUUGUCGUCAGCUCGUGUCGUGAGAUGUUGGGUUAAGUCCCGCAACGAGCGCAACCCUUAAGCUUAGUUGCCAUCAUUAAGUUGGGCACUCUAAGUUGACUGCCGGUGACAAACCGGAGGAAGGUGGGGAUGACGUCAAAUCAUCAUGCCCCUUAUGAUUUGGGCUACACACGUGCUACAAUGGACAAUACAAAGGGCAGCGAAACCGCGAGGUCAAGCAAAUCCCAUAAAGUUGUUCUCAGUUCGGAUUGUAGUCUGCAACUCGACUACAUGAAGCUGGAAUCGCUAGUAAUCGUAGAUCAGCAUGCUACGGUGAAUACGUUCCCGGGUCUUGUACACACCGCCCGUCACACCACGAGAGUUUGUAACACCCGAAGCCGGUGGAGUAACCUUUUAGGAGCUAGCCGUCGAAGGUGGGACAAAUGAUUGGGGUGAAGUCGUAACAAGGUAGCCGUAUCGGAAGGUGCGGCUG
This 1374-nucleotide ribosomal RNA is filed under the name Staphylococcus aureus. Its description in RNAcentral is "bacterial SSU rRNA". It matches the Rfam family "Bacterial small subunit ribosomal RNA", at positions 161 to 1520 of the family's 1533-position model. The record is from RNAcentral. Lineage: Bacteria; Bacillati; Bacillota; Bacilli; Caryophanales; Staphylococcaceae.